This 113-nucleotide small nuclear RNA is filed under the name Lynx canadensis (Canada lynx). Its description in RNAcentral is "U4 spliceosomal RNA (ENSLCNG00005007893.1)". It matches the Rfam family "U4 spliceosomal RNA". Rfam says of the family: U4 small nuclear RNA (U4 snRNA) is a component of the major U2-dependent spliceosome. Lineage: Eukaryota; Metazoa; Chordata; Mammalia; Carnivora; Felidae. The record is from Rfam by way of RNAcentral.
AGCUUUGCGCAGUGGCAGUAUCGUAGCCAAUGAGGUUUAUCCAAGGCGCGAUUAUUGCUAAAACAAUGCCACUCUCCUCAUGACUUUUUUUAAAUUUUGGAAAAUAUACUUAU